Molecule: non-coding RNA, 100 nt
Filed under: Paenibacillus sp.
Lineage: Bacteria; Bacillati; Bacillota; Bacilli; Caryophanales; Paenibacillaceae
Also listed under: 1 other name
Description: Guanine sequence
Rfam family: Purine riboswitch aptamer
About the family: Riboswitches are metabolite binding domains within certain messenger RNAs that serve as precision sensors for their corresponding targets.
Source: RNAcentral
ACUCAUCACUCAUUAUUCAUUCGUAUAACCUCACGACAUUAGGGUGAGGGUCUCUACAGGAAGCCUUAACUUCCUAACUACGAAUAUAGGACAUCUUCGA